GUUUAAUCAAUAAGCUAGUCAUGCAUUAUCCCAGCAAAUAGAUGUUUCACUUCAUAUAUCCAAGAACAUAAUGAAACCUGCAAAUUUAGAAACAUAAAAAUAUUUAGUACUUAUUUGAAUGAAAAGUUUUCGUCACUUCCUUGCCAUGCUAAAUAGAAAAAACAGAAAGACUUUUGCAAACAUGAAAAGGAAACUAUUUUCUACUUUAGGAAUUUUGAAUUUGAAAAUUGAAAAAGCAACGAACUUACUAAUGAAGUUCUCCCUCGUUUGUAGUUGAUAUUAUUUUUCCACACAAUCUAUUAUUAUGCCCAAUUUGAUGACAUAUACUGUAGGUGCAACGAACCGAUCUCUUUUUUGCCAGUUGUUCAUCUAAUUCUCUUCUCCUUUUCUUUGAUUUUCUACCUCUCUUCUUCUCUUUUUCUUCAGGAGGUGCACAAUAGGGUCUGGCCAUUUGCUCUCAUCAGUGCUGGCCCAAGGGUAAGGCUGCUAAAGCAGC
RNAcentral lists this long non-coding RNA (496 nucleotides) under Nicotiana tabacum (common tobacco). RNAcentral's name for it is "long non-coding RNA (NTAB_LNC012391)". The record is from RNAcentral. Lineage: Eukaryota; Viridiplantae; Streptophyta; Magnoliopsida; Solanales; Solanaceae.